GACGAACGCUGGCGGCGUGCUUAACACAUGCAAGUCGAACGGAAAGGCCCUGCUUUUGUGGGGUGCUCGAAUGGCGAACGGGUGAGUAACACGUGAGUAACCUGCCCUUGACUUUGGGAUCACUUCAGGAAACUGGGGCUAAUACCGGAUAGGCGCUCAUGCUGCAUGGUGGGGGUUGGAAAGUUUCGGCGGUUGGGGAUGGACUGGCGGCUUAUCAGCUUGUUGGUGGGGUAGUGGCUUACCAGGGCUUUGACGGGUAGCCGGCCUGAGAGGGGGACCGGCCCCAUUGGGACUGAGCUACGGCCCAGACUACUACGGGAGGCAACAGUGGAGAAGAUUGCACAAUGGGCUGAAGCCUGAUGCAGCAACGCCGCGUGCGGGAUGACGGCCAUCGGGUUGUAAACCGCUUUCGCCUGUGACGAAGCGUGAGUGACGGUAAUGGGUAAAGAAGCACCGGCUAACUACGUG
RNAcentral lists this ribosomal RNA (468 nucleotides) under uncultured bacterium. Its description in RNAcentral is "partial 16S ribosomal RNA". It matches the Rfam family "Bacterial small subunit ribosomal RNA", at positions 28 to 507 of the family's 1533-position model. The record is from RNAcentral.